Cyclopterus lumpus (lumpfish) is the source of this 270-nucleotide long non-coding RNA. RefSeq lists it as uncharacterized. The record is from RefSeq and is a predicted model, not a curated record. The transcript has 3 exons. Lineage: Eukaryota; Metazoa; Chordata; Actinopteri; Perciformes; Cyclopteridae.
UUUGCACUGUGACAGAUGUGACCUGGACUAAAUUGUGAUACAGUGAAAUAGUUUAAAACAUUGAAAGCAGAAAGAUAGGAGGAAUUCAUAACUUUUCAUCUAAUAUCUUGAUCAUUGGAAAAAAAAGACAAGAUGGAUUUCGGAAAGAUAGUAUCGAUUAUCCUGAUUCUGAUAGUAGCACAUACUACAGUAGAGACAACAACAACUGCCGCACCCACAACAACUCCCGCGCCCACAACAACUCCGGCACCUACAACAACUCUGGCACCU